CCUCGGUGCUGGGCGGAAGGAGCCGGUCCACCCCGCUUCCUGCACAGAGGGAGGCGUCGGGAGCGCAGUGCGGGGCGAGCAGGCCUGCAGCCGCUGACCGCUGCGCGCUGAGCUGCUUGCCUUGACCGUAAAGGAAACAGGAUAUGGUACAGGGCACCGGCUUCCGAGAAGUGAGCAUCAGCCCCUUCGGCCCUGCGGCUUUCUCUUGUAGAGCCGGAAACUUCCACGUGCUUUGCUGCCAACCCUCCCACCGCUGCCUGCCCCCGAGACCCACCACGAGCAUCACGAGUCCCCAUCUGCUCUCACCCUCACUGCACGCUGCUCCCCCCUGUGCAGGAAGAUGUCAAGAGACUCCACUUCAUGAGGGGGAAACUUGACUGCAAGAGCUCACGGGGUUUCCUUCAAGCUGCAUAGCGCACAGGUGCUCCGGUGUUGCGAUGUUGAGACUUCUGAACCGCACGUUGUUUUUGCUUUGACUCUUGUUAGCGCUGAUCAGAAGAGAACCGCUUUGUAACCUUUUCUUGCAGCUUUCCACAGGAAGAGCUUGGCUUUCGGCAUUUCCCCCCACCCCCACUAAAAGGAAACAUACCCCUCUCCCUUGCUCUUGGUGUGUUUAUUAGCACUGAUAACAGAAGGCAGCAAGUGUGUCUUCCCCUGAGCUUCAGGUGCUCCUUUGUAACAGAGCUAAAGUGAGAUUCAGGGGUUGCUCCAGCCUCAACUGGAAAGAUCAGAGAAUUCAAUCUUUAACAAAACAUUUUAUUCUCACAAGUAUUCCUCAGGUGUUUGAAUUAAGUAAUUAAUAAAGCAGUUCACAGUC
Molecule: non-coding RNA, 817 nt
Organism: Struthio camelus australis
Lineage: Eukaryota; Metazoa; Chordata; Aves; Struthioniformes; Struthionidae
Source: RefSeq, a predicted model, not a curated record